GAUGAACGCUAGCUACAGGCUUAACACAUGCAAGUCGAGGGGAAACGACAGAGGAAGCUUGCUUCCUUUGGGCGUCGACCGGCGCACGGGUGAGUAACGCGUAUCCAACCUUCCCGCAAGUAAGGGAUAACCCGUAGAAAUGUGGUCUAAUACCCCAUAUGCCGGUCUUCUGCAUGGAGGACCGGUGAAAGGAGAGAUCCGGGCGCGGAUGGGCAUGCGUCUGAUUAGCUGGUUGGCGGGGCAACGGCCCACCAAGGCAACGAUCAGUAGGGGUUCUGAGAGGAAGGUCCCCCACAUUGGAACUGAGACACGGUCCAAACUCCUACGGGAGGCAGCAGUGAGGAAUAUUGGUCAGUGGACGGAAGUCUGAACCAGCCAAGUAGCGUGCAGGACGACGGCCCUAUGGGUUGUAAACUGCUUUUAUGUGGGAAUAAAGUGAGGGACGUGUCCCUUUUUGUAGGUACCACAUGAAUAAGGACCGGCUAAUUCCGUG
Molecule: ribosomal RNA, 493 nt
Filed under: uncultured bacterium
Lineage: Bacteria
Description: bacterial SSU rRNA
Rfam family: Bacterial small subunit ribosomal RNA
Source: RNAcentral